This is a long non-coding RNA of Oncorhynchus keta (chum salmon), 2137 nucleotides long. RefSeq lists it as uncharacterized. The transcript is spliced from 6 exons. The record is from RefSeq and is a predicted model, not a curated record. Lineage: Eukaryota; Metazoa; Chordata; Actinopteri; Salmoniformes; Salmonidae.
CUAGAAUACAGUAUAUACAUAUGAAGUGGACAGCAGUAGUUAUAUAGGAUGAACCAUGACUAGAAUACAGUAUAUAUAUAUUGUGUAAAACAAUACGAAAACAUAUAUAGUAUGUGAUAGUAACAGUGACUAAGGUUCAGGACAGGGUACUGGGUGGAGGCCGACUAGUAACAGUGACUAAGGUUCAGGGCAGGGUACUGAGUGGAGGCCGACUAGUAACAGUGACUAAUGUUCGUGGCAGGGUACUGAGUGGAGGCUGGCUAGUGGUAACUAACGUUUAGGGCAGGGUGCUGGGUGGAGGCCGACUAGUAACAGUGACUAAUGUUCGGGGCAGGGUACUGAGUGGAGGCUGGCUAGUGGUAACUAACGUUUAGGGCAGGGUGCUGGGUGGAGGCCGACUAGUAACAGUGACUAAGGUUCAGGGCAGGGUACUGGGUGGAGGCUGGAUAGUGACAGUGACUAAGGUUCAGGGCAGGGUACUGGGUGGAGGCCGGAUAGUGACAGUGACUAAGGUUCAGGGCAGGGUGCUGGGUGGAGGCUGGAUAGUGACAGUGACUAAGGUUCAGGGCAGGGUGCUGGGUGGAGGCUGGAUAGUGACAGUGACUAAGGUUCAGGGCAGGGUGCUGGGUGGAGGCUGGAUAGUGACAGUGACUAAGGUUCAGGGCAGGGUGCUGGGUGGAGGCUGGAUAGUGACAGUGACUAAGGUUCAGGGCAGGGUGCUGGGUGGAGGCUGGAUAGUGACAGUGACUAAGGUUCAGGACAUGGUACUGGGUGGAGGCUGGAUAGUAACAGUUACUAAGGUUCAGGACAGGGUACUGGGUGGAAGCUGGAUAGUAACAGUUACUAAGGUUCAGGGCAGGGUACUGGGUGGAGGCCGACUAGUAACAGUUACUAAGGUUCAGGGCAGGGUACUGAGUGGGAGGCCGACUAGUAACAGUUACUAAGGUUCAGGGCAUGGUACUGGGUGGAGGGUAGCUAGAAACAGUGACUAAGGUUCAAGGCGGGGUACUGGUUGGAGGCUGGCUAGUGGUAACUAAGGUUCAUGGCAGGGUACUGGUUGGAGGCUGGAUAGUAACAGUGCUAAGGUUCAGGGCAGGGUACUGGUUGGAGGGUAGCUAGAAACAGUAACUAAGGUUCAGGGCAGGGUACUGGGUGGAGGCAGGCUAGUGGUAACUAAGGUUCAGGGCAGGGUACUGGGUGGAGGCUGGCUAGUGGUAACUAAGGUUUAGGGCAGGGUACUGGGUGGAGGCUGGCUAGUGGUAACUAAGGUUUAGGGCAGGGUACUGGGUGGAGGCUGGAUAGUGACAGUGACUAAGGUUCAGGGCAGGGUGCUGGGUGGAGGCUGGAUAGUGACAGUGACUAAGGUUCAGGGCAGGGUGCUGGGUGGAGGCUGGAUAGUGACAGUGACUAAGGUUCAGGGCAGGGUGCUGGGUGGAGGCUGGAUAGUGACAGUGACUAAGGUUCAGGGCAGGGUGCUGGGUGGAGGCUGGAUAGUGACAGUGACUAAGGUUCAGGGCAGGGUGCUGGGUGGAGGCUGGAUAGUGACAGUGACUAAGGUUCAGGGCAGGGUGCUGGGUGGAGGCUGGAUAGUGACAGUGACUAAGGUUCAGGGCAGGGUGCUGGGUGGAGGCUGGAUAGUGACAGUGACUAAGGUUCAGGGCAGGGUGCUGGGUGGAGGCUGGAUAGUGACAGUGACUAAGGUUCAGGACAUGGUACUGGGUGGAGGCUGGAUAGUAACAGUUACUAAGGUUCAGGACAGGGUACUGGGUGGAAGCUGGAUAGUAACAGUUACUAAGGUUCAGGGCAGGGUACUGGGUGGAGGCCGACUAGUAACAGUUACUAAGGUUCAGGGCAGGGUACUGAGUGGGAGGCCGACUAGUAACAGUUACUAAGGUUCAGGGCAGGGUACUGGGUGGAGGGUAGCUAGAAACAGUGACUAAGGUUCACGGAGGGGUACUGGUUGGAGGCUGGCUAGUGGUAACUAAGGUUCAUGGCAGGGUACUGGUUGGAGGCUGGAUAGUAACAGUGCUAAGGUUCAAGGCAGGGUACUGGUUGGAGGGUAGCUAGAAACAGUAACUAAGGUUCAGGGCAGGGUACUGGGUGGAGGCAGGCUAGUGGUGACUAAGGUUCAGGGCAG